AAAAAAAAAAAGGAAACGAGGGCAUUACCCUUCUGAUCUGUCUCCAUAAUUGCCAGCUGCUUAGAUUUAAAUGAGGUAUUUAUAAAUUUGUGCAAUGCUGCUCUUUGCAGCUUCUGCCUGAAAGAUUUAUGGGGAGGUUGUGCUGCUGCAGGGUCACCUCAGCUGAGGCUGCUCCUAUGUUAGUGGUAAGCAUAUUUUCCAAGUUUUGCUGAAAACCAGCUCUCAGGAAGCAGUUGCACAGGAGAUGUAAAAUUGUGCCCCUGCUGGAAGGAAUCUGUUGGUCAACAAACUUGGUUCAGGAUGAAACUCGAUGGCUGUGGGCCCACUAACAUCAUCCUUACACAGUGUGAAGAGUUCACCAAAAUAAAGCCGAAAGAAUGGAAUCCUCCUCCAUCCCCUCAGCUCAGAAGUGAUGGAUUCCUUCAGCUUUGUACACUCUCCGAUGAUAUUGAAGUGUCUGUGACUUCAUGGCCACCACAGAGCCAAGCUGAGGUGGCCUUGGAGGAAGACUGACUGUUACAGAGGUUGCCUGGAUGGGCUCUAUAGGUGGAACAACCUGAACAACAGAAACACAGGACAUUCUUAUAAGAUGAAAGCAUCCCUCUUAUAGAUCCAGGACCGGACAGGCUGUCUGCUCCGCACAGUAACAAAGACUUGAAACCGUAUUGGCGCGAUGCCUGAUACAACACUAAAUGCUUCCCUGUGGCUUUCUACUCCCAGGGAGAAAGAGCAAAGAAAUCAGCAGGGAGACCAGUGGAAGUCAUGGUUUGACAACAUCAAAGAGCAGCUUGGACCCUAUCCUUAUAAAGAGAAAAAGGUUGCCAGGAUCCCAUGAGUUGGCUGACUAAUAAGCGAAGUGCUGCCAAUGCUCCAAUUCAGAUUGGCUUGGGCUGACCCAGUGAGUGAUGGCCAUUGCCGAUGGAAGAAGUUAGCAGAAAAAGCAGGGAGAUAAAGAAAAAUAACCAAGCAAAUACAGGAAUUGUGAACUCAUGGAGCACAGGGGGAGUCGCCUCUUGAAUCAGAAACGUCUGUGUUAGUAGUAAGGUCAACAGUGACUUCUGAGAAGGCAUUUGCAGCAUUCGUUACCGCUUCCGUCCUCUGACAGAGACGCAUUGGUGUGUGGUGCUAUUUGUCUUGUCCACACUGAUCAGAAUAAUGGACAACGUGGCGGGGGGAAGGAGGAAAAUACAUCAUUUAAAAAACCAGGAUGGCCAGAUGUACAUGUACACUGGGAUUUCACAUAUUGCACGUGGGUCAGCCCCUUCCAGUUAUUAUAAAUGACCUUGUGCUCCUUUAUGAAGACCAGAUCCCCAGUGAGGUCUGAGUGACUGGAUUCGCUCGUUUGCGCAACAAAAAGCAGUUACAGCACGAGGCAGUCCAAGUCACACUGCUUGCAGACAAGGGACAGGCAGCUGCCUUCGGGCAAGAAGAAGCUGUGUGACCAUUUACUGGCUGAAGGACUGCCCAGGGAGUGUGGAAAAUGUUUCCUAGUUCUCCUAAGGUGGAAAAAUCCAUAAAGUCAGCCUAAAUGAAUUGGAUGAAAGGAGCUAUAGUCUUGAAGAUCUGCUUAAAUGAGAUAUUCUGGGGAACGUGGUGAGCAGGGUGGCUCCCAGUUUGCUGUAAAAUCAUUUCUCCUUCCUCACUAUGCCCGCAUGCUCUGUCCCUGUAGCUCCUGAAUUUUAUCUCCCACUGAACGCCACUGCAAGACCUGGUUUUCCCCAGAAGGGUUUCCAGUGAAGCAUUGAAGCCAACAUCUGAGGAAGAGGAAUGAUUUUUGUGGAGGCAUUGUGGUCACAAACACACAUGCCUCUGCCACCUGGGUCUUGUCUUAGCUUGACCAUGGGGUGACCAAGAUGACAGGGACAGAGAUCUGCUCCCAGCCUCACUAUAUUUUAGAAAAGUCACUUCCCUGUAUUUCCCUAUCUCUGAUUUUUGCCUUAUCUGUUUAAACUGUCAGCUGCUCAGGGGGGUUUUGUAAAGCACCUAUUGCAAUAGGGCCCCGAUCUCUCCCGAGGCCUCUGAACACCAUGGUAAUAUAAAUAAUAAGAAAGCAUUUAUCAAAGCAUACAAAGGGAACUCUCUGUGCUUUGAUUUAAAGCAUGUAAAAUGAGUCUUGGAAAACAUUCCUCCAAAGGAGCAGAGGAUUAAUUAACACUUGUCCAGCCCGUUGCGACCACAGGCAGUGCUGGGAGUCCUCUGCACCGCUGACUUACCUCCAGAAAGAGCUUUCGUCGAGGCGGGACACGGACAGGCACCAGAAAUUACAGGACCUCUCCUUGCUUUAACUGGGUUUGCUUUUCCACACAAAGAAAAGAACACAAAAGACCCGAGGGAAAUAGAAGGGACACAAAAUUAUGUCGUAUUUACAGAGGUUGGGAAGGAGUAGUUUAGACCCUUGAGGCUUAGAGUGCUUAUUGCUAAGCUUCGAUGCCUUGCUGCACAUUUGAUUAACAGCCCCCCUGGAAAAAAAGCAAUCCACGACCGCCCUCCUGGCCCGAGGUGCUGCCCGCAGAGCAUCCGGCUGCUCGGCCGCGGGUCCUGGGGGAGCUGCGCUGUGACGCCGAGCGGCAACUGUGGGGACGUGGGGAGACCUCGCAGCUGCAGAGAGCCCAGUUCCCAAACGCCGCCUGGUCAGAGUUCAUCAGUCUUCCUCGCUGAAAGACUCGAGAGUUGGAGUUUAUCAUCUCAGCUGGUUCAAAUUGCAGAGCACGAGAAGGGAGAAUGGUUUUCCAGCUUUUAAGCCAGGAUAAUUUGUUUGCUUUAUUAUUUUUUUUAUUGUAAAAAUGGUUUAAAUCCAUCAAGUCACUCUUCAGAGUUACAGAGUUGCAAUAAAUCCUAAUCUGUUUGGACUCA
Long non-coding RNA from Anser brachyrhynchus (Pink-footed goose), 2853 nucleotides. The record is from Ensembl. NCBI's taxonomy places the organism in Eukaryota, Metazoa, Chordata, Aves, Anseriformes, Anatidae.